RNAcentral lists this microRNA precursor (98 nucleotides) under Mustela putorius furo (domestic ferret). RNAcentral's name for it is "miRNA (ENSMPUG00000021176.1)". Lineage: Eukaryota; Metazoa; Chordata; Mammalia; Carnivora; Mustelidae. The record is from RNAcentral.
UGGUUUACUUACUACAUGUCCCAGGAUGCAUUUCGGGUUUUUGCUUAACUCCGGAUUAGAGCGUUGCAUGCUGGGACCUGUAGUUGAUUUAAACAGCA